RNAcentral lists this unclassified non-coding RNA (250 nucleotides) under plant metagenome. Its description in RNAcentral is "partial contains small subunit ribosomal RNA, internal transcribed spacer 1, and 5.8S ribosomal RNA". The record is from RNAcentral.
GUAGGUGAACCUGCGGAAGGAUCAUUUCCAAUAAUUGAAACAAACACAUUUAAACACCUUUAUUGGUGUGUGAAUUGUUUUGGGUACUCUAUUUCUCUCAAAGGGAAAAAAGAAAGCAAGGGGAUUUCUGAUGGAUAAGCAGUGAAGUAUUGUUGGUGUUGAAGCUUAAAAAACAAGUAUGUUGUUGAUUGGAAUGCGUUGGAAGACUUGUAUAAGGAAGUAAAACACUUUACACCUGUCGAUAACGACU